This 447-nucleotide ribosomal RNA is filed under the name uncultured bacterium. Its description in RNAcentral is "bacterial SSU rRNA". It matches the Rfam family "Bacterial small subunit ribosomal RNA", at positions 355 to 825 of the family's 1533-position model. The record is from RNAcentral.
UGGGGAAUAUUGGACAAUGGGCGAAAGCCUGAUCCAGCCAUGCCGCGUGGAUGAAGAAGGCCCUAGGGUUGUAAAGUCCUUUCGGUGGUGAAGAUAAUGACGGUAACCACAUAAGAAGCCCCGGCUAAUUUCGUGCCAGCAGCCGCGGUAAUACGAAAGGGGCUAGCGUUGUUCGGAAUUACUGGGCGUAAAGCGUGCGCAGGCGGCUUGUCAAGCCAGACGUGAAAGCCCCGGGCUCAACCUGGGAAUGGCGUUUGGGACUGACAGACUGGAGUGCGGCAGAGGGAACUGGAAUUCCUGGUGUAGCAGUGAAAUGCGUAGAUAUCAGGAGGAACACCAAUGGCGAAGGCAGGUUCCUGGGCCAGCACUGACGCUCAUGCACGAAAGCGUGGGGAGCAAACAGGAUUAGAUACCCAAGUAGUCCCUGAGCGGGCUGGCAAGGCGCAU